Cynocephalus volans (Philippine flying lemur) is the source of this 127-nucleotide small nuclear RNA. NCBI's taxonomy places the organism in Eukaryota, Metazoa, Chordata, Mammalia, Dermoptera, Cynocephalidae. The record is from RefSeq and is a predicted model, not a curated record.
GGCAUCUAUGAAAGGAGAGAGGCUUAGCACUCCCAUUGACAAGAAUGAAAGAGGCCUUCAGGCCUGACAACAUGCAUAGAGUUAAGGCAUUACCACCUACUUCACUGGCAUCUAACCAUCAUUUUUG